Molecule: ribosomal RNA, 301 nt
Filed under: uncultured bacterium
Lineage: Bacteria
Description: partial 16S ribosomal RNA
Rfam family: Bacterial small subunit ribosomal RNA
Source: RNAcentral
CAUCGCCGCGGUAAUACGGAGGGGGCUAGCGUUGUUCGGAAUUACUGGGCGUAAAGCGCACGUAGGCGGCUUGGUAAGUUAGAGGUGAAAGCCCGGAGCUCAACUCCGGAAUUGCCUUUAAGACUGCCGAGCUAGCAGGUGAGAGAGGUAAGUGGAAUUCCGAGUGUAGAGGUGAAAUUCGUAGAUAUUCGGAAGAACACCAGUGGCGAAGGCGGCUUACUGGCUCAUACUGGACGCUGAGGUGCGAAAGCGUGGGGAGCAAACAGGAUUAGAUACCCGCGUAGUCCCUGUCUCUUAUACA